Molecule: ribosomal RNA, 492 nt
Filed under: uncultured bacterium
Lineage: Bacteria
Description: partial 16S ribosomal RNA
Rfam family: Bacterial small subunit ribosomal RNA
Source: RNAcentral
AGUGAACGCUGGCGGUAGGCCUAACACAUGCAAGUCGAACGGCAGCACAGUAAGAGCUUGCUCUUACGGGUGGCGAGUGGCGGACGGGUGAGGAAUACAUCGGAAUCUACUUUUUCGUGGGGGAUAACGUAGGGAAACUUACGCUAAUACCGCAUACGACCUACGGGUGAAAGCAGGGGAUCUUCGGACCUUGCGCGAUUGAAUGAGCCGAUGUCGGAUUAGCUAGUUGGCGGGGUAAAGGCCCACCAAGGCGACGAUCCGUAGCUGGUCUGAGAGGAUGAUCAGCCACACUGGAACUGAGACACGGACCAGACUCCUACGGGAGGCAGCAGUGGGGAAUAUUAGACAAUGGGCUGAAGGCUGAUCCAGCCAUACCGCGUGGGUGAAGAAGGCCUUCGGGUUGUAAAGCCCUUUUGUUGGGAAAGAAAAGCAGCAGGUUAAUACCCCGCUGUUCUGACGGUACCCAAAGAAUAAGCACCGGCUAACUUCGUG